GUGGGAGCUAAAGUAACUGUACUGAUAGGAAUGUAUUAGCCUCAGAAGCUACUGAAGUGGCCAGUUCUGCCUCAUACAGUA
Cavia porcellus (domestic guinea pig) is the source of this 81-nucleotide small nucleolar RNA. The record is from Ensembl. NCBI's taxonomy places the organism in Eukaryota, Metazoa, Chordata, Mammalia, Rodentia, Caviidae.